Ornithodoros turicata is the source of this 593-nucleotide long non-coding RNA. RefSeq lists it as uncharacterized. NCBI's taxonomy places the organism in Eukaryota, Metazoa, Arthropoda, Arachnida, Ixodida, Argasidae. The transcript has 2 exons. The record is from RefSeq and is a predicted model, not a curated record.
AAACGUGCUGAAGCACUACUCGAUAACAAGGAGUUUUCUUGUCCUGCUACUUCAUAUGGAAUCAGUACAGAGGCAGCGGCACGCAGAAAAUUUGAGGCAGUGCAUGGAGUCUCCGUGCAGUGUUUUGGGCUUGUUGUUGCAUCGGACGACCCCUGGUUGGUAAGCUCUCCUGAUGGUGUGUUCAGGUCACCUGAUGGUAUGGUUCACCUGCUGGAAAUCAAAUGCCCCAAGAGCCGCGAGCAAAAGAAGGUGUCGGAGCUCCCACUCCUAAGUUACCUGUGUACAGAUGAGAAUGGACUGCACCUUUGAAAGACACACACAUAUUACACUCAGGUUCAGAUUAACUUGCAUGUAUUGGAUUUGAAAACAUGUAGCUUUUUCAUUUACACAAAAGUGGACUUUGAAACAAUAGAAGUUGUGAGAGACAAUAACUUUCUGAGUGCAGCAGUACCAAGACUCCGAAUAUUUUAUUUCGAACAUCUCCUCCCAUCUACACUUCGUGCAGAACUCAGAAGUAGAAACAAGAUGUGCUCUUGUAGACCACCGUGUGUGGACAUGUAACUCUAAAUAAAAGGAAACACUGCUGUAGAAUA